AUUUGUCUGGUUAAUUCCGAUAACGAACGAGACCUUAACCUGCUAACUAGAUUCUUUUAUUUUAUAACUGAUAUCUUCUUAGAGGGACUAUGUAAUUUAAAUACAUGGAAGUUUGAGGCAAUAACAGGUCAGUGAUGCCCUUAUAUGUCCUGGGCUGCACGCGUGCUACACUGAUGUAUACAACAAGUGCCUAACCAGACAUGGUAUGGCAAUCUCGAAUAUGCAUCGUGAUAGGGAUAGAUCUUUGCAAUUAUAGAUCUUGAACGAGGAAUUCCUAGUAAGUGCAAGUCAUCAUCUUGCAUUGACUAUGUCCCUGCCCUUUGUACACACCGCCCGUCGCUCCUACCGAUACCGGGUGAUCCGGUGAACCUUUUGGACCUGUAAGGGGAAGAUAAGUAAACCAUAUCACCUAGAGGAAGGAGAAGUCGUAACAAGGUUUCCGUAGGUGAACCUGCRGAAGGAUCA
This 465-nucleotide ribosomal RNA is filed under the name uncultured ciliate. RNAcentral describes it as "SSU rRNA". It matches the Rfam family "Eukaryotic small subunit ribosomal RNA". Lineage: Eukaryota; Ciliophora. The record is from RNAcentral.